UCCGGGUUGCGGACAGUGUCUGGUGGGUAGUUUGACUGGGGCGGUCUCCUCCUAAAGAGUAACGGAGGAGCACGAAGGUUGGCUAAUCCUGGUCGGACAUCAGGAGGUUAGUGCAAUGGCAUAAGCCAGCUUGACUGCGAGCGUGACGGCGCGAGCAGGUGCGAAAGCAGGUCAUAGUGAUCCGGUGGUUCUGAAUGGAAGGGCCAUCGCUCAACGGAUAAAAGGUACUCCGGGGAUAACAGGCUGAUACCGCCCAAGAGUUCAUAUCGACGGCGGUGUUUGGCACCUCGAUGUCGGCUCAUCACAUCCUGGGGCUGAAGUAGGUCCCAAGGGUAUGGCUGUUCGCCAUUUAAAGUGGUACGCGAGCUGGGUUUAGAACGUCGUGAGACAGUUCGGUCCCUAUCUGCCGUGGACGCUGGAGAACUGAGGGGGGCUGCUCCUAGUACGAGAGGACCGGAGUGGACGCAUCACUGGUGUUCGGGUUGUCAUGCCAAUGGCACUGCCCGGUAGCUAAAUGCGGAAGAGAUAAGUGCUGAAAGCAUCUAAGCACGAAACUUGCCCCGAGAUGAGUUCUCCCUGACUCCUUGAGAGUCCUGAAGGAACGUUGAAGACGACGACGUUGAUAGGCCGGGUGUGUAAGCGCAGCGAUGCGUUGAGCUAACCGGUACUAAUGAACCGUGAGGCUUAACCUUACAACGCCGAAGGUGUUU
Molecule: ribosomal RNA, 710 nt
Filed under: Escherichia coli
Lineage: Bacteria; Pseudomonadati; Pseudomonadota; Gammaproteobacteria; Enterobacterales; Enterobacteriaceae
Description: partial 23S ribosomal RNA
Rfam family: Bacterial large subunit ribosomal RNA
Source: RNAcentral